UGAUGCGCCAUGCCGCGUGUGUGAAGAAGGCCUUCGGGUUGUAAAGCACUUUCAGUCGUGAGGAAGGUGGUGGUGUUAAUAGCUGUAUCAUUUGACGUUAGCGACAGAAGAAGCACCGGCUAACUCCGUGCCAGCAGCCGCGGUAAUACGGAGGGUGCGAGCGUUAAUCGGAAUUACUGGGCGUAAAGCGCAUGCAGGUGGUUUGUUAAGUCAGAUGUGAAAGCCCGGGGCUCAACCUCGGAAUAGCAUUUGAAACUGGCAGACUAGAGUACUGUAGAGGGGGGUAGAAUUUCAGGUGUAGCGGUGAAAUGCGUAGAGAUCUGAAGGAAUACCGGUGGCGAAGGCGGCCCCCUGGACAGAUACUGACACUCAGAUGCGAAAGCGUGGGGAGCAAACAGGAUUAGAUACCCUGGUAGUCCACGCCGUAAACGAUGUCUACUUGGAGGUUGUGGCCUUGAGCCGUGGCUUUCGGAGCUAACGCGUUAAGUAGACCGCCUGGGGAGUACGGUCGCAAGAUUAAAACUCAAAUGAAUUGACGGGGGCCCGCACAAGCGGUGGAGCAUGUGGUUUAAUUCGAUGCAACGCGAAGAACCUUACCUACUCUUGACAUCCAGAGAACUUUCCAGAGAUGGAUUGGUGCCUUCGGGAACUCUGAGACAGGUGCUGCAUGGCUGUCGUCAGCUCGUGUUGUGAAAUGUUGGGUUAAGUCCCGCAACGAGCGCAACCCUUAUCCUUGUUUGCCAGCACUUCGGGUGGGAACUCCAGGGAGACUGCCGGUGAUAAACCGGAGGAAGGUGGGGACGACGUCAAGUCAUCAUGGCCCUUACGAGUAGGGCUACACACGUGCUACAAUGGCGCAUACAGAGGGCAGCCAACUUGCGAGAGUGAGCGAAUCCCAAAAAGUGCGUCGUAGUCCGGAUCGGAGUCUGCAACUCGACUCCGUGAAGUCGGAAUCGCUAGUAAUCGUGGAUCAAAAUGCCACGGUGAAUACUU
Molecule: ribosomal RNA, 993 nt
Filed under: Vibrio sp. 839M
Lineage: Bacteria; Pseudomonadati; Pseudomonadota; Gammaproteobacteria; Vibrionales; Vibrionaceae
Description: bacterial SSU rRNA
Rfam family: Bacterial small subunit ribosomal RNA
Source: RNAcentral